CCUGGCGGCACUAGCGCGGUGGUCCCACCUGACCCCAUGCCGAACUCAGAAGUGAAACGCCGUAGCGCCGAUGGUAGUGUGGGGUCUCCCCAUGUGAGAGUAGGGAACUGCCGGCA
Molecule: ribosomal RNA, 116 nt
Filed under: Klebsiella pneumoniae
Lineage: Bacteria; Pseudomonadati; Pseudomonadota; Gammaproteobacteria; Enterobacterales; Enterobacteriaceae
Source: RNAcentral